AGCAAUACUUCGCCGGCGACCGGCGCACGGGUGAGUAACACGUGUGCAACCAACCCCGUACCGGGAGAUAACCCGCGGAAACGUGGACUAACAUCCCAUGACACCUUUUCCCCGCAUGGGGGAGAGUUUAAAACCCCGGUGGUACGGGACGGGCACGCGCGACAUUAGGUAGUUGGCGGGGUAAGGGCCCACCAAGCCGACGAUGUCUAGGGGUUCUGAGAGGAAGGUCCCCCACACUGGAACUGAGACACGGUCCAGACUCCUACGGGAGGCAGCAGUGAGGAAUAUUGGUCAAUGGGCGAGAGCCUGAACCAGCCAAGUCGCGUGAGGGAAGAAUGGUCUAUGGCCUGUAAACCUCUUUUGCCAGGGAAGAAUAAAAGGUACGUGUACCUUCUUGCCAGUACCUGACGAAUAAGCAUCGGCUAACUCCGUGCCAGCAGCCGCGGUAAUACGGGGGAUGCGAGCGUUAUCCGGAUUUAUUGGGUUUAAAGGGCGCGUAGGCAGGACGUCAAGUCAGCGGUAAAAGACUGCAGCUAAACUGUAGCACGCCGUUGAAACUGGCGCCCUCGAGACGAGACGAGGGAGGCGGAACAAGUGAAGUAGCGGUGAAAUGCAUAGAUAUCACUUGGAACCCCGAUAGCGAAGGCAGCUUCCCAGGCUCGAUCUGACGCUGAUGCGCGAGAGCGUGGGUAGCGAACAGG
RNAcentral lists this ribosomal RNA (701 nucleotides) under uncultured bacterium. RNAcentral describes it as "bacterial SSU rRNA". It matches the Rfam family "Bacterial small subunit ribosomal RNA", at positions 76 to 776 of the family's 1533-position model. The record is from RNAcentral.